UUACUUUACAGUCUACAGAAACUUUUU
This 27-nucleotide non-coding RNA is filed under the name Rattus norvegicus (Norway rat). The record is from RNAcentral. Lineage: Eukaryota; Metazoa; Chordata; Mammalia; Rodentia; Muridae.